GUGUUGGAUAUAGGUAGUCAGUCAUAUAAUUAUUUUACUUUUUAUCACAAACCUAAUCAGUGCAUCACAGAACAACUUGUUUUCCAUUGCUAGAAGGCUUGUAAUGUUUACCGGGAGUUGGAUAUUGAGGGAUGUAAGUGUGGACAGUAGGUUUUGUUUCUUGAACAUGGUUUUCACAUGCAAAAAAUAAAUGGUUCAAAUCCGCUACAGAGUUAUCAUCACAUGUACAUAACCUAGUGUUGUGUGUGCCUAUUCUAAAUAAAUGUGCGGGAAAACUUCCGUGAUUGAGUUUGAGCCGUGUUAUUGUGACGGCAUAAAACCUUGUAUAUAUGUAUAUU
Leptinotarsa decemlineata (Colorado potato beetle) is the source of this 338-nucleotide long non-coding RNA. The record is from RefSeq and is a predicted model, not a curated record. Lineage: Eukaryota; Metazoa; Arthropoda; Insecta; Coleoptera; Chrysomelidae.